UACGUAGGGUGCAAGCGUUACUCGGAAUUACUGGGCGUAAAGCGUGCGCAGGCGGCUUUGCAAGACAGAUGUGAAAUCCCCGGGCUUAACCUGGGAACUGCAUUUGUGACUGCAUGGCUGGAGUGCGGCAGAGGGGGAUGGAAUUCCGCGUGUAGCAGUGAAAUGCGUAGAUAUGCGGAGGAACACCGGUGGCGAAGGCGGCAUCCUGGACCGGUAUUGACGCUGAGGCGCGAAAGCCAGGGGAGCAAACGGG
RNAcentral lists this ribosomal RNA (253 nucleotides) under uncultured bacterium. Its description in RNAcentral is "partial 16S ribosomal RNA". It matches the Rfam family "Bacterial small subunit ribosomal RNA", at positions 524 to 776 of the family's 1533-position model. The record is from RNAcentral.